RNAcentral lists this ribosomal RNA (274 nucleotides) under uncultured bacterium. Its description in RNAcentral is "partial 16S ribosomal RNA". It matches the Rfam family "Bacterial small subunit ribosomal RNA", at positions 523 to 796 of the family's 1533-position model. The record is from RNAcentral.
AUACAGAGGGUGCGAGCGUUAAUCGGAAUUACUGGGCGUAAAGCGCGCGUAGGCGGCUUGGUCAGUCGGAUGUGAAAGCCCCGGGCUCAACCUGGGAAUGGCAUUCGAUACUGCCAGGCUAGAGUAUGCGAGAGGGAAGUGGAAUUUCCGGUGUAGCGGUGAAAUGCGUAGAUAUCGGAAGGAACACCAGUGGCGAAGGCGACUUCCUGGCCCAAUACUGACGCUGAGGUGCGAAAGCGUGGGGAGCGAACAGGAUUAGAAACCCUAGUAGUCC